GAUGAACGCUGGCGGCGUGCCUAAUACAUGCAAGUCGAGCGAACGGAUGAGAAGCUUGCUUCUCUGAUGUUAGCGGCGGACGGGUGAGUAACACGUGGAUAACCUACCUAUAAGACUGGGAUAACUUCGGGAAACCGGAGCUAAUACCGGAUAAUAUUUUGAACCGCAUGGUUCAAAAGUGAAAGACGGUCUUGCUGUCACUUAUAGAUGGAUCCGCGCUGCAUUAGCUAGUUGGUAAGGUAACGGCUUACCAAGGCAUCGAUGCAUAGCCGACCUGAGAGGGUGAUCGGCCACACUGGAACUGAGACACGGUCCAGACUCCUACGGGAGGCAGCAGUAGGGAAUCUUCCGCAAUGGGCGAAAGCCUGACGGAGCAACGCCGCGUGAGUGAUGAAGGUCUUCGGAUCGUAAAACUCUGUUAUUAGGGAAGAACAUAUGUGUAAGUAACUGUGCACAUCUUGACGGUACCUAAUCAGAAAGCCACGGCUAACUACGUG
Molecule: ribosomal RNA, 497 nt
Filed under: uncultured bacterium
Lineage: Bacteria
Description: partial 16S ribosomal RNA
Rfam family: Bacterial small subunit ribosomal RNA
Source: RNAcentral